GCUGGCAUAGCUCAGUUGGGUAGAGCAAUCCUUUGGUAUGAGAUAGGUCGUGAGUUCGAGUCUCACUGUCAGCUCCA
RNAcentral lists this transfer RNA (77 nucleotides) under Thermoanaerobacteraceae bacterium. RNAcentral's name for it is "tRNA-Thr". It matches the Rfam family "tRNA". From Rfam's summary of the family: Transfer RNA (tRNA) molecules are approximately 80 nucleotides in length. Lineage: Bacteria; Bacillati; Bacillota; Clostridia; Thermoanaerobacterales; Thermoanaerobacteraceae. The record is from RNAcentral.